Molecule: ribosomal RNA, 526 nt
Filed under: Callithrix jacchus (white-tufted-ear marmoset)
Lineage: Eukaryota; Metazoa; Chordata; Mammalia; Primates; Cebidae
Description: partial 16S ribosomal RNA
Rfam family: Bacterial large subunit ribosomal RNA
Source: RNAcentral
UCUAGCAUCCCUAGUAUUAGAGGCACUACUGCCCAGUGACACAUGUUCAACGGCCGCGGUACCCUGACCGUGCAAAGGUAGCAUAAUCACUUGUUCUCUAAAUAAGGACUUGUAUGAAUGGCCACACGAGGGUUUAACUGUCUCUUACUUUUAAUCAGUGAAAUUGACCUAUCCGUGAAGAGGCGGAUAUGCCUAAAUAAGACGAGAAGACCCUAUGGAGCUUCAAUUUAAUGGUACAAGCCUCAGCCCUUCAAACCAACAGGCAAUAAUCUGUAAUAAAUGUACCAUAAAUUUUGGUUGGGGUGACCUCGGAGUACAACAUAGCCCCCGAAAAACACAUACUAAGACUUCACCAGUCUAAGUAAAAAUAAAUCUAUUGACCCAAUAACUUGAUCAACGGACUAAGUUACCCUAGGGAUAACAGCGCAAUCCUAUUCUAGAGUCCAUAUCGACAAUAGGGUUUACGACCUCGAUGUUGGAUCAAGACAUCCUAAUGGUGCAGACGCUAUUAAGGGUUCGUUUGUUC